GGUUAAGCGACUAAGCGUACACGGUGGAUGCCCUGGCAGUCAGAGGCGAUGAAGGACGUGCUAAUCUGCGAUAAGCGUCGGUAAGGUGAUAUGAACCGUUAUAACCGGCGAUUUCCGAAUGGGGAAACCCAGUGUGAUUCGUCACACUAUCAUUAACUGAAUCCAUAGGUUAAUGAGGCGAACCGGGGGAACUGAAACAUCUAAGUACCCUGAGGAAAAGAAAUCAACCGAGAUUCCCCCAGUAGCGGCGAGCGAACGGGGAGGAGCCCAGAGCCUGAAUCAGUGUGUGUGUUAGUGGAAGCGUCUGGAAAGGCGCGCGAUACAGGGUGACAGCCCCGUACACAAAAAUGCACAUAUUGUGAGCUCGAUGAGUAGGGCGGGACACGUGGUAUCCUGUCUGAAUAUGGGGGGACCAUCCUCCAAGGCUAAAUACUCCUGACUGACCGAUAGUGAACCAGUACCGUGAGGGAAAGGCGAAAAGAACCCCGGCGAGGGGAGUGAAAAAGAACCUGAAACCGUGUACGUACAAGCAGUGGGAGCACGCUUCGGCGUGUGACUGCGUACCUUUUGUAUAAUGGGUCAGCGACUUAUAUUCUGUAGCAAGGUUAACCGAAUAGGGGAGCCGAAGGGAAACCGAGUCUUAACUGGGCGUUAAGUUGCAGGGUAUAGACCCGAAACCCGGUGAUCUAGCCAUGGGCAGGUUGAAGGUUGGGUAACACUAACUGGAGGACCGAACCGACUAAUGUUGAAAAAUUAGCGGAUGACUUGUGGCUGGGGGUGAAAGGCCAAUCAAACCGGGAGAUAGCUGGUUCUCCCCGAAAGCUAUUUAGGUAGCGCCUCGUGAAUUCAUCUCCGGGGGUAGAGCACUGUUUCGGCAAGGGGGUCAUCCCGACUUACCAACCCGAUGCAAACUGCGAAUACCGGAGAAUGUUAUCACGGGAGACACACGGCGGGUGCUAACGUCCGUCGUGAAGAGGGAAACAACCCAGACCGCCAGCUAAGGUCCCAAAGUCAUGGUUAAGUGGGAAACGAUGUGGGAAGGCCCAGACAGCCAGGAUGUUGGCUUAGAAGCAGCCAUCAUUUAAAGAAAGCGUAAUAGCUCACUGGUCGAGUCGGCCUGCGCGGAAGAUGUAACGGGGCUAAACCAUGCACCGAAGCUGCGGCAGCGACGCUUAUGCGUUGUUGGGUAGGGGAGCGUUCUGUAAGCCUGCGAAGGUGUGCUGUGAGGCAUGCUGGAGGUAUCAGAAGUGCGAAUGCUGACAUAAGUAACGAUAAAGCGGGUGAAAAGCCCGCUCGCCGGAAGACCAAGGGUUCCUGUCCAACGUUAAUCGGGGCAGGGUGAGUCGACCCCUAAGGCGAGGCCGAAAGGCGUAGUCGAUGGGAAACAGGUUAAUAUUCCUGUACUUGGUGUUACUGCGAAGGGGGGACGGAGAAGGCUAUGUUGGCCGGGCGACGGUUGUCCCGGUUUAAGCGUGUAGGCUGGUUUUCCAGGCAAAUCCGGAAAAUCAAGGCUGAGGCGUGAUGACGAGGCACUACGGUGCUGAAGCAACAAAUGCCCUGCUUCCAGGAAAAGCCUCUAAGCAUCAGGUAACAUCAAAUCGUACCCCAAACCGACACAGGUGGUCAGGUAGAGAAUACCAAGGCGCUUGAGAGAACUCGGGUGAAGGAACUAGGCAAAAUGGUGCCGUAACUUCGGGAGAAGGCACGCUGAUAUGUAGGUGAAGUCCCUCGCGGAUGGAGCUGAAAUCAGUCGAAGAUACCAGCUGGCUGCAACUGUUUAUUAAAAACACAGCACUGUGCAAACACGAAAGUGGACGUAUACGGUGUGACGCCUGCCCGGUGCCGGAAGGUUAAUUGAUGGGGUUAGCGCAAGCGAAGCUCUUGAUCGAAGCCCCGGUAAACGGCGGCCGUAACUAUAACGGUCCUAAGGUAGCGAAAUUCCUUGUCGGGUAAGUUCCGACCUGCACGAAUGGCGUAAUGAUGGCCAGGCUGUCUCCACCCGAGACUCAGUGAAAUUGAACUCGCUGUGAAGAUGCAGUGUACCCGCGGCAAGACGGAAAGACCCCGUGAACCUUUACUAUAGCUUGACACUGAACAUUGAGCCUUGAUGUGUAGGAUAGGUGGGAGGCUUUGAAGUGUGGACGCCAGUCUGCAUGGAGCCGACCUUGAAAUACCACCCUUUAAUGUUUGAUGUUCUAACGUUGACCCGUAAUCCGGGUUGCGGACAGUGUCUGGUGGGUAGUUUGACUGGGGCGGUCUCCUCCUAAAGAGUAACGGAGGAGCACGAAGGUUGGCUAAUCCUGGUCGGACAUCAGGAGGUUAGUGCAAUGGCAUAAGCCAGCUUGACUGCGAGCGUGACGGCGCGAGCAGGUGCGAAAGCAGGUCAUAGUGAUCCGGUGGUUCUGAAUGGAAGGGCCAUCGCUCAACGGAUAAAAGGUACUCCGGGGAUAACAGGCUGAUACCGCCCAAGAGUUCAUAUCGACGGCGGUGUUUGGCACCUCGAUGUCGGCUCAUCACAUCCUGGGGCUGAAGUAGGUCCCAAGGGUAUGGCUGUUCGCCAUUUAAAGUGGUACGCGAGCUGGGUUUAGAACGUCGUGAGACAGUUCGGUCCCUAUCUGCCGUGGGCGCUGGAGAACUGAGGGGGGCUGCUCCUAGUACGAGAGGACCGGAGUGGACGCAUCACUGGUGUUCGGGUUGUCAUGCCAAUGGCACUGCCCGGUAGCUAAAUGCGGAAGAGAUAAGUGCUGAAAGCAUCUAAGCACGAAACUUGCCCCGAGAUGAGUUCUCCCUGACUCCUUGAGAGUCCUGAAGGAACGUUGAAGACGACGACGUUGAUAGGCCGGGUGUGUAAGCGCAGCGAUGCGUUGAGCUAACCGGUACUAAUGAACCGUGAGGCUUAACCUU
RNAcentral lists this ribosomal RNA (2904 nucleotides) under Escherichia coli. RNAcentral's name for it is "23S ribosomal RNA". It matches the Rfam family "Bacterial large subunit ribosomal RNA". The record is from RNAcentral. Lineage: Bacteria; Pseudomonadati; Pseudomonadota; Gammaproteobacteria; Enterobacterales; Enterobacteriaceae.